Molecule: ribosomal RNA, 201 nt
Filed under: uncultured Actinomycetales bacterium
Lineage: Bacteria; Bacillati; Actinomycetota; Actinomycetes; Actinomycetales
Description: partial 16S ribosomal RNA
Rfam family: Bacterial small subunit ribosomal RNA
Source: RNAcentral
CCUCGCACUUCGGGAUAAGCCUGGGAAACUGGGUCUAAUACCGGAUAGGAGCCAUUUUUAGUGUGAUGGUUGGAAAGUUUUUCGGUGUAGGAUGAGCUCGCGGCCUAUCAGCUUGUUGGUGGGGUAAUGGCCUACCAAGGCGGCGACGGGUAGCCGGCCUGAGAGGGUGGACGGCCACAUUGGGACUGAGAUACGGCCCAG